CGUAGGGUGCGAGCGUUGUCCGGAUUUAUUGGGCGUAAAGAGCUUGUAGGCGGUUAGUCGCGUCGAAAGUGCAAACUCAGGGCUUAACCCUGAGCCUGCUUUCGAUACGGGCUGACUAGAGGAAGGUAGGGGAGAAUGGAAUUCCCGGUGGAGCGGUGGAAUGCGCAGAUAUCGGGAGGAACACCAGUGGCGAAGGCGGUUCUCUGGACCUUUCCUGACGCUGAGAAGCGAAAGCGUGGGAGCAAACAGGCUU
RNAcentral lists this ribosomal RNA (253 nucleotides) under uncultured bacterium. Its description in RNAcentral is "partial 16S ribosomal RNA". It matches the Rfam family "Bacterial small subunit ribosomal RNA", at positions 526 to 779 of the family's 1533-position model. The record is from RNAcentral.